UUCCGGUUGAUCCCGCCGGACCCAACUGCUAUCAGGCUGGGACUAAGCCAUGCGAGUCCUGCCCCCCGAGCCACGUCGGGGAGCGGCGCACGGCUCAGUAACACGUGGUCAACCUGCCCUCAGGAUGGGGAUAACCCCGGGAAACUGGGGCUAGUCCCCAAUAGGCGGCGACGCCUGGAAUGGUCCGCCGCCCAAAGGGACCGCACGCAUGCGUGCGGCUCCGCCUGAGGAUGGGACUGCGGCCGAUCAGGCUGUUGGUGGGGUAACGGCCCACCAAACCUACGACCGGUACGGGCCAUGAGAGUGGGAGCCCGGAGAUGGGCACUGAGACAAGGGCCCAGGCCCUACGGGGCGCAGCAGGCGCGAAACCUCCGCAAUGCGCGAAAGCGUGACGGGGUCAGCCUGAGUGCCGGCUGACGCCGGCUUUUCACCGGUGUAAAAAGCCGGUGGAAUAAGGGGAGGGCAAGGCUGGUGUCAGCCGCCGCGGUAAAACCAGC
This 497-nucleotide ribosomal RNA is filed under the name uncultured crenarchaeote. RNAcentral describes it as "bacterial SSU rRNA". It matches the Rfam family "Archaeal small subunit ribosomal RNA", at positions 1 to 480 of the family's 1478-position model. The record is from RNAcentral. Lineage: Archaea; Thermoproteati; Thermoproteota.